Peromyscus maniculatus bairdii (prairie deer mouse) is the source of this 647-nucleotide non-coding RNA. Lineage: Eukaryota; Metazoa; Chordata; Mammalia; Rodentia; Cricetidae. The record is from RefSeq and is a predicted model, not a curated record.
GAGACUGAACUAAAGAACAUAUUGUAGUAUUAACAAAUAUACCUUAGUAUACAUAAUAGAUUUAAAAAAACAAUGUAAUGUUGGGGUUUUUUUGCCCUUUGUAGAUUAAGGAAGCAGCUAAUUUUUAACUGGAAGCUUUCAUCAGGCAAUUCAGGAAUUUGUGGGCUAUUCAUCUUGUGACUGGUUGCCAACACAUUGACUCAGAAGUCAUCAGUGUUUCCAUAGCAUUUGAACUCUGGUUUUGACAUGAGAGCUGCAGAUUCUCCUGACGAAUUCCAUCACUCAAAAGAAACAUCGGAGCAUAUCUGCAUAGUAGCAUGAUUAAUUCCCCAGAAAGUGUCCAGAGACAGUGUAAACCUCAUCUCAUGCAACAAAAGAGAUGCCGGAGCAGAAGCUUCUCCCUGUCUUCCCUACUGAGAAACGCCAGAGCACACCUGAAACAGAGUUUAAACCUUCGGGAUUUCUUCAUACGUUAAGGAGUUGACUCGUGUGUCAAACUUGCCAAGUACAUGAUUCCUGGAAGAAAGAAAAUGGGUAAGAAUGUAUUUUUAUACAAAGAACUUUAAGGAUCACAGGAUUAUGUGUCUUCACAUUUAUGUGUACAUACAGCCACAGCCUUACCUCUCUCAAUUCUGCAUCUGUGGGGU